CGGCGGCGGCGGCAGCCGUGACAGGAAGUUCCCCCACGGAGACGCGCGCGCCCGAACACGUGACUCCACGCCCGGCAACACGCAAUGCGCAUGCGCCAGGCGAAGCGGGUGUGGCGCCCAACAGGGCGUACAGCACAUCACCCUGGCUGACGUUGAGCCGCACGCGAAGGAGCAGGUCGUUCCUGCUGGGCUCCACAAGGAGGAGGCGGCAGGAGCCCAGGGAAAGCAGAUACUUCUUGACCAGGAUAUUUAAUGCCUCGGAAGGCAUCAAAGGCUGUCCCAGUGGGGGCACAAAUGAAGGGCAGAAUGCAGUACUAUCUUCAGAAUCAGAGGAUAGCAGGUCUGAAUCCUGGUUCUAGCAAAUACCUAAAUAUGACACCCUGGGCAGAAUUCAAAUUUAAGACGCUCAAAACGAAAGUCACUUCUCCAGUAACUCAAGAGAGAAGCAUGAGCAUCAGCUUAUAUUCUUCCCUUCCUCUGACCUCCCACAUCCAGCAGAGCACCAGCACAGGACCUCACACCAACAGGUGCUCAGCAAAGAAUUGCCGAGUUUUGUAGGUACAGCUAGGCCUCCCGACGGUGACUUACCUUCCUGGCAACCAGCUGGAUGGCAUCAUCCUCAAAGGCCUUUAAGUGUUUGAGUCGGGACAUUAGGAUCUGCUGCAGCUGCCUGGUCCUGUGUAUUCAUUUUUGCAGGACUCCUUAGCACAGCUUCUGCAUCUGUAAGAACAACUUGAGAACGGCCCCAACACCUACCAGUCGGCUCGACACCCGGUUCAUCAUGAGGCGCUCUGGCAGGUCCAUGGUGUUGGCGAUGGCCAGGACCACAAGCUGGGCCUCCCUGUGAGUGGGCCAGUCAAAGAGAUUGUACAUGACAUCUUGUUUCUGAGUCCACAGAAGGUCAAGCUGCCGGGGAAAUGGAGAGAGAUGCAGGGUCAACUACAGAGACCGCGCCAGGGCCCAGAGUGAGACCUGUCACCACUGUUUUAGCUGCAUGCGCUUCUCAGGGCACAUCGGCAGAGCAGCAAGGAAGUCAGUGGGCACGUGCCACUUGCCACCAGACAACAGGCUUAGAUGAAGGAAGGAGCCAAGCCUUCCGUCCUGCCCAGUACUUGCUCCCAAAACAUCUCGGUCAACAACCAUGUGGCUUCUUUCCCAGUCCUGCUGUGGGCACCUCCUUACCUCAUCCACAAGCAGCACGGUGGUUUCCUGAGAGGACCCUUGGGUGCGAAAUCGCUUUGCCAGCAGUUCGGCUGCAUGGUUAGCUGUUGCCUUUUGGCCUGUCAUCUUCUGCAUUGGGGGAAAACAGGGAUGGUGAACUCUAAGGGCUUAAAGUUAAAUCUGCAAACAGAGGAAGCUAUUUAGUCUGAGGAUUUCAGGAUCCUAUACUCUGCCUUCUACCCUAAACUUGGAAGGCACCAAGACAGAAGAUAGAGAAAGUCUGUGUGAUUGAAAUGCAAAUGAACCACAGACUAGUCCCAGAAGCCCCUUCAAAAUCAUUACUUCCUAACUUUAUAACUGGACAUUAUCUGUUACAAGAGAACAGCUAAUGAACCAAGAGUGAGGUGCAAACUUGCACCUACCUCCAACCCUUUUCUAGUCUGCCACACUGCCUCCUGUGUGCAAAUGGUUUUCACCAUGACAGUAAGUACUAGCUUCCAACAUUUCAUAACAAGCUCCUAGACGUUAAGGUCCCUGUGGGUAGGAAUUCUGCCUUUGCUCUUGCUAUCUCUACUCAAAGAGCAAUGCCUGGCAUGUUGAAAAUAUGUAAUAUGCACAAAAUGAAGUAAACCUUUUUCUUUUCAUGUACCACCAAGACUGUAUUUUCCAAAAAGCCCAACCUGCUUUGCUUACCUGCAAGAUCUGCACGUAGACUUGGUGGGGCUCUGUCAGUUUCAUGCCAUUGACUUCAAUGUAUUGAAAGGGAGGAACAUCAUUUGCUUGGGCCGCCUGCUGCAGACAGUGUAUUACCUCGUGUACAGUGGCAGUCUUCCCGGUCCCAGGUACCCCAGAGAUAUACAUGCACCUAGGCAGGAAGGGAAGGCGUGAGGGUUAGGUCUGUGCCAGCUGCCUCACCAGUUAGGAGUGAGCAAAUGUCUGCUGAAGGAAGGACCAAGAGCCCUGAAAUGUGGAGGUGGGGGCAGUUGGGACCAUCCUUGGAAGCUGAUUAGAGCAGGGCCUUUUCCAUAGAAUCAUUCAUUCCACAAGCAAUGGCAGUGUCAUUUUUCUUUGAAAAACAGAAUUCCUAUUCCUACAGAAUAACUUUGACAACAAAAAGCUGCUUUAGAAGCUUUAGGCUUUUCCCUGUUCUCCUGACACGGGCAAAGACCAUCUGGCCGAUCUCUGACACCUGAGGGGUAUACCAGCAGGAGCCUUCUCCCCCGACCAUCCGACCUGGCUCAGCAUGACUCACCCUCCAGUAUGGUCAAGGAGUUUGCUUUCCACAAAGUUGUAGAUAUCUUGGAAUUCCUUUUCCCGACAGGGAAGAGAGUCAGGUACAGCAGAAACAUGCAGACUAAAUAAGGGAAAAGGAGGAUUUUAGAAGCAUUUCACCAUCUACUCAAUAAUAAAUUGAAAGACUUAUCUAGUUUCUACAUAAAACCUUAAUCACAAACCCAAGGGAAUGUCUUCAUUCUCAAAUCUCUUCAUGUAGUUGCAUAAUCCCUUUCUCCCCCCAAAUCACCAACUCAGUGGUGCUAACCAAAGGUACACGUCACCUGGGAAGCUUUCCCCAAAUCACAUGGCUGAACCUCAUCCCACAAGAGAUUCUGAUUCGGUUGAUUUCUGGAAGGAUGCAGGCUUGUAUAUUUUUUAAAAGUCCCAACACAGUUCUAAAGGGUGUGACACUUGAGAAGGAGCGUCCUGACUAGUCACCUCCAUCCCUGAGAAAAGGAUGGCAGUAGACUGGACGGUGACUCCUAGAACCAGUCUGCAUUAGCUGACCCAGACACCACUGGAGAGGUUUCUUCUCUCUGAACACACAUGUUCAUUUUACUCUGUUAUUACUCCUGUUUCACGUGAAUGAACGCAGAGGCCCAUCUCUUCCUAUCUGAAAGGGGCCCGUGAGCAGUGUUACCUUAGCCGGGCCUCCUCUAGCACGCUGGCAGGUCCCCGGACAGCCAGGUUUCGGCUGCGGAUCUGGGGAGUGGCAGAAUGUGGCAUUCUAGGCUUGGGCUAUAUUCAGAAAGAGAACAUAUUUCAGAAAAAAACAACACACACACACACACACACAAACCAACAACAAAGCAAAACACCAUCCAGGACACAUUAGCAAAUCUGAUUCCUGAUGACUUGCUAAAAAGAAGAGAGGUGGUGUAUUUCUUAGUUCUUUUAUGUAUAAAAUACCAUGAUUCUCCCUCUCUCUCCUCACAUCACACAUACACUUUGUUCAUAGUCCAAACACAAUUUCUUUUUUCCAAUUUACACACAGUAUUAGGAUUUGAAAACAAUGUCAAUCUGGGGAAAGAAUAAAUGAAAGUAUGGAUUAAACACUAUUUAAAAGUAAAAUAUUACUUUAAAAAAAAGAUAAGAAAUUAUAAAGAAAUCCUAACUACCCUGCCCAAACAUAAGGUUGAGUGGGAGGCAUAAACUGGGUUUGAUUCAGAGGAUCUUCCUAGAGAUUGGUUUGAAAACAUGGUUAGACCUUGUUUACCGGCUUAACACCUAACAACUUUGGAGAAAACAGGAAAGGAGUAAGAAAACCUUGCUCAGAAUGUAUCAAAAUGUCACCCCAAUUAAUUUACUAGUAAUUAAUAAAUAAAAAGAAUGUAUCAAGAA
Molecule: long non-coding RNA, 3777 nt
Organism: Myotis lucifugus (little brown bat)
Lineage: Eukaryota; Metazoa; Chordata; Mammalia; Chiroptera; Vespertilionidae
Exons: 6
Source: RefSeq, a predicted model, not a curated record